AGAGGCCUCGCGAGGCAGGGCUAGAAGCUGUGGCCUCACCCUUGAGGCCCGGGCACUUCCCGUCUCCUCCCUUGCUCCCCUUCCUCACCCCAAUCCCUACAGCCUCCCGCGCAGCCUGAGCUCUAGGAUUGUGGGUUUUCCAUCCUCCGAAGACAUCACCUUUGCUCAUCUCCCAGGAGAGUCUCGUCCAAAGGAGGGGGGUGCUUUCUGCUUCAGCAGAUCCCACCCCACCCUGGGAUCCGAGGGAGCAAUGGUGGGGCGAGUGAGGGUCUGCCGUAAAUAUCCCCCGACCACCCUCUGGGAAGGUGCUAGAGGCCACAGGCAAAUUUCAGUCUCCCCAUGGAAUAUCUGCUGUGCUGCUGCUGCUGCUGCUGCUGAACUCUUAGGGUCACCUGGAGCACCUUGGGAGCCAGAGAUGCAGCCAAAGAGUGAACAAUGGUACCAAUCCCAAGACCCAUGUGUUAAGAAGAAACCAGCCAAGACUCAGAUCAGGAUUGGGGAGUCCACCCCUCGUUUCCCUUCAGAGCAUUAUUUCCUUGUUUGCUAAGAGGGGCAGGAACUGGAAAACUCAGGCUAGCCCAUCUGAGAAGACUUUCCUGGAGAUGAGCUGGAGGAGGGAGGAGUAAGGCCUUGGAAGGAAACUCCAGGACAGCACCACCUCCCCUACACUGGGACCUCGUCUCUAACUGGCAGAGUGGUCAAUGAAAAAAAGGGCAUGCCUUGGCACAUCAUGGUCAAACUGCUAAAAGCCAAAGACAAGAGAAAAUCUUUUCUUUUUUUUAAUCCCAUCCUAAAGACUAGACAGAACAAUAUUUUCAAUGUCACUCUUUUCUCAUCAAAACCAAUAUAGACCAGAAGACAGUGGAAUAUCUCUAAAAUGCUGAAGGAAAAAAAAAGUCAACUCAGAAUUGUUUUUCUAGUGAAAGUAUUCUUCCAGAAUGAAGAUGAAAUAAAGCUAUUUUCAGAUAAAAGAAAACAGAGAUUCUUGUCGCCAGCAGACCUCCACUAUGAGAAGCGCUAAAGAAAGUUCUUUAGGACGGGCACGAUAGCUCACGCCUAUAAUCCCAGCAUUUUGGGAGGCCAAGGUGGGAGGAUUGCUUGAGCUCGGAAGAUGGAGGCUGCAGUGAGCCAUGACGGUGCCACUGCACUCCAGCUUGGGUGACAGAGUGAGACGCUGUCUCAAAUUGGAAGAGCAGAGCUGCAGACAGGAAUAAGAAGAACGGUAAAUUUGAAGAUGGGACCGUCUAGUUGCAAGAAAACAAGCUCAGGGCUCCCACUGAUUCUACAUUACGGGCUGUGGGUUCCUUGAGGGAGGAAUUUUGUCCUGCAGGCUGUGGCAGCCCUAGGACUCAGCACAUCUAGGUGUCCACCUGCGUCUGUGGAAGAAGAAGAAGAAGAGGAGGAGGAGGAGGAGGAAGAAGAAAGAUGGUGAGAUAUCCUGCAGGAGACCAGGGCCAGGAGGGUGGAGGCCUCUCAAGAAGAGGGAAGCAUGAGGAAGCUCCAGGGCAGGAUGGUUUACCUGCCUGGACAGCAAGAUGAUGGCUACACUAGCCCCCAUUCUCUGGGCGCCUGGAUUUGCCCACCAGAUCUCCUCACCUCUUGCCCUUCACCUCCUGCUGUACCUACAAGGUCUCCCCGAUUCUCAUCUGCCCAUAAUCAUGGACACAGCCCCAGGAUGUGCAGGGUGAGUCCCCAGGGACCCUGAAAGCAUGGGUACUCUUAUGACUGAGGGCGUUACACCAGGGAGAGGGAGCCGGGGAGACUUCCCAGAGAGCUGGUUGGGGGUUAUGAAAGUGGCCUCACGGCUGAUGCGGUGGCUAACACCUGUAAUCCCAGCACUUUGGGAGGCUGAGGCGGGCAGAUUGCUUGAGGUCAGGAGUUCGAGAUCAGCCUGGCCAACAUGGUGAAACCCAGUCUUUACUAAAAAUACAAAAAAAUUACGUGGGCCUGGUGGCACGUGCCUGUAGUGCCGGCUACUCAGGAGGCUGAGGCACAAGAAUCACUUGAACCUGGGAGGCGGAGGCUGCAGUGAGCCGAGAUUGCACCACUGCACUCCAGCCUGGGCGGCAGAGCAAGAUUCUGUCUCAAAAAAAAAAAAAAAGAAAAAGAAAAAAGAAAAAGUGGUCCCAGGCCAGGUGGGAGCAGCAGGCUCUAGGGGAGGAAGUGCAUCCUGUGGAAGAGCAGGGAGCCGCUGGAGGGGUGGGGAGGGAAGGGGCAGCUCCCACCCUCAUCUCCAUCGUCCGCAUGCUGGGGAUACCAGGCCUCUUACUUGGGGUACUUAAGGCUAGACCAGAUGGGGUUCCUGCAUCUUAGGGAGUGACAUUAGGGUGGGGGAAAGGUACCAAAAUGGCCAUGCCUCUGCUGUCUCUUGGGAUCUUGAGAUCUGUGGUGGCCUCUAGGAGUUCUCUGCUGCCAAUAAGUGGUCCAACCAUGUUACAGGAUUGGACCCGGGAUGGCCUUUGUGCUUUAGAGCUGAGGCACUUCCUGCUUCUACCUGAGCUCCUUUUCAACAUAUAGGCCUGGGCACGUAGGCGUCAGGGUCAUGUGGGAGGUGGAGGCCGAGGGGAGAGGUGGGCAGUGGGGAGGGGUACACGGCUAGACCUUGUUGCUCUGCCUCCUCUUGGGACCCCCCAGUGGGAUGGAGCCCAAGUCCUUGGGCAGCACAUGGUCCUCUGCUUCACAGGACACACACCUGUACCCAUCCUCCCCAUCCACUUUUGCUCAGUUUAUUUUGGGGACAGGGCUCUGAAUUGACCUUUGGUCUUUGCAGACUCUCAGGGACCAUCUGGAGUUCCAGCUGGAAUCUGGGCCUGGUGGAGUGGGAGUGGGGCAGGGGCCUGCAUUGGGCUGACUUAGAGAGCACAGUUAUUCCAUCCAUAUGGAAAUAAACAUUUUGGAUUCCUGAUCA
RNAcentral lists this long non-coding RNA (2908 nucleotides) under Homo sapiens (human). RNAcentral describes it as "HSALNT0366472". The record is from RNAcentral. Lineage: Eukaryota; Metazoa; Chordata; Mammalia; Primates; Hominidae.